GUGCCAGCAGCCGCGGUAAUACAGAGGGUGCGAGCGUUAAUCGGAAUUACUGGGCGUAAAGGGUGCGUAGGUGGUUGAAUAAGUUAGGUGUGAAAGCCCUGGGCUUAACCUGGGAAUUGCGCAUAAGACUGUUUAGCUAGAGUAUUGUAGAGGAAGGUGGAAUUUCCGGUGUAGCGGUGAAAUGCGUAGAUAUCGGAAGGAACAUCAGUGGCGAAGGCGACUUUCUGGACAAAUACUGACACUGAGGCACGAAAGCAUGGGGAGCAAACAGGAUUAGAUACCCCGGUAGUCC
Molecule: ribosomal RNA, 292 nt
Filed under: uncultured bacterium
Lineage: Bacteria
Description: partial 16S ribosomal RNA
Rfam family: Bacterial small subunit ribosomal RNA
Source: RNAcentral